UUGUACUAUUUUGGGUGGAUGUAGCCAAGAAGAUGGGGGAUCCCCCUCCCCUCAGCUCCCAGUUUUUUGCCGUUUCACCCCAGAAAAGGCAGGCAGCCAGGACCUCUCGUUCCCACAGCCCUGUGUUGUGGAAACACGAUUCCACGA
This is a non-coding RNA of Ceratotherium simum simum (southern white rhinoceros), 147 nucleotides long. The record is from RefSeq and is a predicted model, not a curated record. Lineage: Eukaryota; Metazoa; Chordata; Mammalia; Perissodactyla; Rhinocerotidae.